This is a long non-coding RNA of Myodes glareolus (Bank vole), 878 nucleotides long. RefSeq lists it as uncharacterized. NCBI's taxonomy places the organism in Eukaryota, Metazoa, Chordata, Mammalia, Rodentia, Cricetidae. The record is from RefSeq and is a predicted model, not a curated record.
AAGGUUUUUUUUCUUUCUUUCUGGUUCUGGGGAUCAAAACCAGAACCUCAGGAAGACACUUUUUCAUUCUUCGUCUUUUUUUUUUUUUUUUUUUUGAGGAGUGGGGGCGGGUGGCAUUUCACGUAGUCUACGCAGCCCUGAACUCUCGGUCAUCCUUCCUCUGUGUCCUGAGUGCUGGGAUCACAGGCCUGCUUCUGCCUUAGGCAAGCACUGUGUGCUGACCUAUGACCUGAGUACCCGGUCCAGAAGGGUCACGGCCCUUAUCGUGAUCUAUAGCCCUCACAGAUCUCACUGUGUUGCCCAGGCGGACCGCAAACCGGGCUCGAGUCAUCCCCCUGCCUCCAGCUUCUAAGUAGCUGCUGCUACAGGCAUGUUCUACCGCACCCAUCAUGGAUUUUUCUUGGUUUCGUGUGGCCCAGACUGGUUUCAGACUUCCUGUAGCCAAGGACAGCUCUGACUUCUUGAGCUUCCUGCUUACACACCUCCCAAGUGCUGGGAUUACAGGGGCUGGAUUUGUGGCUCGGCACAGCUCUUCCAGUUCCAGGACCCAGUUCCAGACGGCAGUACCUACACCUCUGAGCAGCCUGACACUGGCCUCUUCUGGCUUCUGCAUGCACGUGAAUGUGCCCCCUCCCACAAACAAAUGCAUAAAGCUGAAAUGUACUUUUGAAAAUAAUAAUUCAUGUUUUCUAGAGAUGCACAGGACUGACACUCCCAGUCCUCAGGAGGCUGCGGUGGGAGGACAGAAAGCUUCAGGCCAGCCUGGGCUAAUAUUGAAAUUUUGUUUCAAAUACACAAAACAAUGCUGAUGCUGAGUGUGUGAUCCAAGGAGGGAAUCCAAGAAUGAGCUGAGAAAAAUUGAUCUAUUAUAUAAAUUC